This 492-nucleotide ribosomal RNA is filed under the name uncultured bacterium. RNAcentral describes it as "bacterial SSU rRNA". It matches the Rfam family "Bacterial small subunit ribosomal RNA", at positions 202 to 694 of the family's 1533-position model. The record is from RNAcentral.
UAAAGAUUCAUCGCUGAUAGAUAGGCAUGCGUUCCAUUAGGCAGUUGGCGGGGUAACGGCCCACCAAACCGACGAUGGAUAGGGGUUCUGAGAGGAAGGUCCCCCACAUUGGUACUGAGACACGGACCAAACUCCUACGGGAGGCAGCAGUGAGGAAUAUUGGUCAAUGGGCGUAAGCCUGAACCAGCCAAGUCGCGUGAGGGAUGAAGGUUCUAUGGAUCGUAAACCUCUUUUAUAAGGGAAUAAAGUGCGGGACGUGUCCCGUUUUGUAUGUACCUUAUGAAUAAGGAUCGGCUAACUCCGUGCCAGCAGCCGCGGUAAUACGGAGGAUCCGAGCGUUAUCCGGAUUUAUUGGGUUUAAAGGGUGCGUAGGCGGCCUUUUAAGUCAGCGGUGAAAGUCUGUGGCUCAACCAUAGAAUUGCCGUUGAAACUGGGAGGCUUGAGUAUGUUUGAGGCAGGCGGAAUGCGUGGUGUAGCGGUGAAAUGCUUAGA